This 253-nucleotide ribosomal RNA is filed under the name uncultured bacterium. RNAcentral describes it as "partial 16S ribosomal RNA". It matches the Rfam family "Bacterial small subunit ribosomal RNA", at positions 524 to 776 of the family's 1533-position model. The record is from RNAcentral.
UACGUAGGGGGCGAGCGUUGUCCGGAAUUACUGGGCGUAAAGGGCGCGCAGGCGGCCGAGUAAGUCCGCUGUGAAAGACCAGGGCUCAACCCCGGGGUGUCAGCGGGGACUGCACGGCUGGAGUCUCGGAGAGGGAUGCGGAAUACCUGGUGUAGCGGUGGAAUGCGUAGAGAUCAGGUGGAACACCGAUGGCGAAGGCAGCAUCCUGGACGAGUACUGACGCUGAGGCGCGAAAGCGUGGGGAGCGAACGGG